RNAcentral lists this ribosomal RNA (464 nucleotides) under uncultured bacterium. RNAcentral's name for it is "partial 16S ribosomal RNA". It matches the Rfam family "Bacterial small subunit ribosomal RNA", at positions 339 to 795 of the family's 1533-position model. The record is from RNAcentral.
CUACGGGUUGCUGCAGUCGAUAAUCAUUCGCAAUGGGCGAAAGCCUGACGAUGCGACGCCGUGUGAGCGAAGAAGGCCUUCGGGUUGUAAAGCUCUUUCGCCUGGGAACAAGAGAAACUUCCGAAUAGGAAGUCUAUUUGAGGGUACUAGGUAAAGAAGCACCGGCUAACUCCGUGCCAGCAGCUGCGGUAAUACGGAGGGUGCAAGCAUUAAUCGGAUUUAUUGGGCGUAAAGUGCGCGUAGGUGGUUUUGUAAGUCAGAUGUGAAAUUCCGGAGCUCAACUCCGGAGCUGCAUUUGAAACUACAUAACUUGAGGAUAAACGGAGAAAAUAGAAUUUCACGUGUAGCGGUGAAAUGCGUAGAUAUGUGAAAGAAUACCGGUGGCGAAGGCGAUUUUCUAGUUUAUUCCUGACACUGAGGCGCGAAAGCAAGGGGAGCAAACAGGAUUAGAUACCCUAGUAGUC